CCUACGGGUGGCAGCAGUGGGGGAUAUUGCACAAUGGGGGGAACCCUGAUCCAGCGACGCCGCGUGUAGGAAGACGGUCCUCUGGAUUGUAAACUACUGUUCCCAGGGACGAAGAUGACGGUACCUGGGGAGGAAGCUCCGGCUAACUACGUGCCAGCAGCCGCGGUAAUACGUAGGGAGCGAGCGUUGUCCGGAAUUACUGGGGGUAAAGGGAGCGUAGGCGGGGAUGCAAGUUGGGUGUAAAAUCUACCGGCUCAACUGGUAGGCGCACUCAAAACUGCAGCUCUUGAGUGAAGGAGAGGCAGGCGGAAUGCGUAGUGUAGCGGUGAAAUGCGUAGAUAUUAGGAGGAACCCCAGUGGCGAAGGCGGCCUGCUGGGCUUUUACUGACGCUGAGGCUCGAAAGUGUGGGGAGCGAACAGGAUUAGAUACCCUAGUAGUC
Molecule: ribosomal RNA, 440 nt
Filed under: uncultured bacterium
Lineage: Bacteria
Description: partial 16S ribosomal RNA
Rfam family: Bacterial small subunit ribosomal RNA
Source: RNAcentral